GCGCCUGUAGCUCAGUCCGGACAGAGCAACGGCCUUCUAAGCCGUGGGUCAGGGGUUCGAAUCCCUUCAGGCGCGCCA
Molecule: transfer RNA, 78 nt
Filed under: Acidobacteriota bacterium
Lineage: Bacteria; Pseudomonadati; Acidobacteriota
Description: Acidobacteria bacterium (groundwater metagenome) tRNA-Arg
Rfam family: tRNA
About the family: Transfer RNA (tRNA) molecules are approximately 80 nucleotides in length. Their secondary structure includes four short double-helical elements and three loops (D, anti-codon, and T loops). Further hydrogen bonds mediate the characteristic L-shaped molecular structure. tRNAs have two regions of fundamental functional importance: the anti-codon, which is responsible for specific mRNA codon recognition, and the 3' end, to which the tRNAs corresponding amino acid is attached (by aminoacyl-tRNA synthetases). tRNAs cope with the degeneracy of the genetic code in two manners: having more than one tRNA (with a specific anti-codon) for a particular amino acid; and 'wobble' base-pairing, i.e. permitting non-standard base-pairing at the 3rd anti-codon position.
Source: RNAcentral